CUUCAUCGAACAGGCAACGGAGUGCCACGAGUCCUGAUCACACAUCCCCAAAGCUGGUGAUAUUUAAACCAAAAUUUUUAGGUCUUCUCAUUUUUCAUUUCCCAUUUUCUCUCUCAUGUUCUCCUGAUCCUCUGCUCUUCCUUGCGAGUAAAACCUUAAGGUUUCCUCCGCAACUCGCCCUACUCUCUCUUUCUUUUCUCUUCUCUCUUCUCUUCUCUCACCCUCUCUAUGCUUCCCUCUUCCUUUGAAAUCCCACCAGUAAAGCCCUAAAUCUCCCCUAGUUUUCAUAUUUUUGAGUUAUCUAUUGCUUUUUCUAAGGCUUGAGGUUUCAAAAUUUCCCCUCGUAACCAAUUGAGCUACCAAAAACCUACAUCCUAUCCCCCCUGUAGAUCUAUGAACCAAGAACCCUAACUUACGACUCUUACCCAAAUACCUGCUUACAACCAAAAUUCCUCACUAGCCUCUCUCUUUCUUUUCCUCAACAACCUUUGGAGGAGUUACAGCCUUGGACGAAUGGAAUGCGACUUCAGCGAACUUGUCCUGAAGGCCUUUGAAGAAAAUGGUUGGUGAAGGUCCUGGUGGUAAUUUGGGACUUGCAGGCUUUUUGAGUGCUCCCAGGUGGCAGUUUAGGACUUGCAGGCUUUUUGGGAGCUUCCAGGUGGCAGCCCGGGAGUGGAGGGUUCAGAACCUGCCUUCUAUUUUUAUUAUUUUUGUCUUCUAUAAUUUUGCAUGUAUGUACCCUCGUGCCCCCUUUUCUGCAACAUUCCUUUGUAACUUUUGUAUAUUAUUUCCUUGUAUUUUGCAUUUCUCAUUUUCAUGUAUUUUGAUUUUCUGUAUUCUUUGUAUUGUUUUAUGCGAGUAGCCUCUUGUUUCCCUUGUAACUUUUCCUAUAUGCUUGUACUUCACAUGUGUCAUGACGUCCCUUUUCCAGAAUGAAAUUUGAGAUGUAUGCAUUUUAUU
Molecule: long non-coding RNA, 960 nt
Organism: Malania oleifera
Lineage: Eukaryota; Viridiplantae; Streptophyta; Magnoliopsida; Santalales; Ximeniaceae
Exons: 2
Source: RefSeq, a predicted model, not a curated record